ACAUUCAUCUGGCAGGGGAGAUACUAUGAUUGUGCAGGUGGGGUUCCCAGGGCGAGGCUUAUACCUUGUACUCCAGAUGGGCUGACCCCUCUGAUUUCCCCCAAUAUGAGAAACUCAAAUGCAUAAUUUGUGGUAGUGGGGGACUCUGUUCACACUUUCCCUAA
Octodon degus (degu) is the source of this 164-nucleotide small nuclear RNA. Its record names the gene U1. It matches the Rfam family "U1 spliceosomal RNA". From Rfam's summary of the family: U1 is a small nuclear RNA (snRNA) component of the spliceosome (involved in pre-mRNA splicing). The record is from Ensembl. NCBI's taxonomy places the organism in Eukaryota, Metazoa, Chordata, Mammalia, Rodentia, Octodontidae.